GUGGGGAAUAUUGGACAAUGGGGGGAACCCUGAUCCAGCCAUGCCGCGUGUGUGAAGAAGGCCUUUUGGUUGUAAAGCACUUUAAGCGAGGAGGAGGCUACCGAGAUUAAUACUCUUGGAUAGUGGACGUUACUCGCAGAAUAAGCACCGGCUAACUCUGUGCCAGCAGCCGCGGUAAUACAGAGGGUGCAUGCGUUAAUCGGAUUUACUGGGCGUAAAGCGCGCGUAGGUGGCCAAUUAAGUCAAAUGUGAAAGCCCCGAGCUUAACUUGGGAAUUGCAGUCGAUACUGGUUGGCUAGAGUAUGGGAGAGGAUGGUAGAAUUCCAGGUGUAGCGGUGAAAUGCGUAGAGAUCUGGAGGAAUACCGAUGGCGAAGGCAGCCAUCUGGCCUAAUACUGACACUGAGGUGCGAAAGCAUGGGGAGCAAACAGGAUUAGAUACCCGGGUAGUCC
This 451-nucleotide ribosomal RNA is filed under the name uncultured bacterium. Its description in RNAcentral is "partial 16S ribosomal RNA". It matches the Rfam family "Bacterial small subunit ribosomal RNA", at positions 354 to 796 of the family's 1533-position model. The record is from RNAcentral.